This is a long non-coding RNA of Tigriopus californicus, 1069 nucleotides long. RefSeq lists it as uncharacterized. Lineage: Eukaryota; Metazoa; Arthropoda; Copepoda; Harpacticoida; Harpacticidae. The record is from RefSeq and is a predicted model, not a curated record. The transcript is spliced from 4 exons.
GUCUGGGGGGGGGGUUCUUGCUUGUGGGAUAAAACCUUACCUCUAUGAGAGAACGUGUAUGCUGUCGGUUGUACUCUCGUGAAAUACACUCAGUCAGUAGUCUCGGUCAAACACGAAAGGAUCUUCGUUGUCUCGUCUCACACUGACGUAUACCUCGAACUUUAAACUCCGUUUUAUCAAACAUGUCCUCGUGGAUAUCCAACUCCUUAUCCACGUCGUUUUCAUCUGCGGCGGGAUGGCACACUACUUUGGCCUCAGCAUCACGAUAUUGGUUCAGCUUAGUCUCCCAUGAACGAAUCUUGGGACUCUAGAUCCAAAACCUCAACCAGGGGUGUAGGGCGAACCAGAAAAUGGGGUGAUGGUCCAACCAAUCGAGGUCCUCAGGGUCAAUUGCAAGUCGGUUACACCUCCUCAAAUAACUGGGCAACCGACUGCGCCACGGAAUGAUGUCUUGUUCCGCAUACGUGAAGUGGAGUACAACUAUAGAAGAUAAAUUUCGGGUGGCUCGGUAAUGGCCUGCCUCGGAGGACGGACAGGAGAAGAAUGACCAAGAGAAGCGAAAUGUGUAAGAAGGACAAAGGGCAAAUGGGAAGCACUGCCAGACCUGAUUGGUGAUGCUUACCAUCGCCAAUCAAAUGGAUUGGUUGAAAGACUUCACCGCCAACUCAAGGAUGCUUUGCUUGAUCUUGCGACGGGAGUCAACUGGUUUUAACAUCUCCCAUGGAUUCUCCUGGGGAUUUGCACACCACCCAAAGACAACUCCGGAUAUUCCCCUGCUGAGAUGCUUUAUGGGUCAAGUUUGAGAGUCCCUGGAAUUGUGUGAUCAGCCCCUCCCAAAGAUUCCCCAUCAAUUGUGUCAAGAACAAGGUUUUAUUUAGUCGGUCGGUCACCAACUCAAACUUGUUGAAAGACUAAAUGUCAUGUAAAGUUUAAAAGUGGUUAAAAAGCCCGUGAAAAAUCGAACCGAACAAGAAGAAAUGAAAGAAGUACACAGUAGAACACGGAAUCUUAAGACAAGAAACACUUGUCAGAGAAAAUUGGAAACAAGAAUUAUUUUAUCAAUUGAUGU